Lampris incognitus (smalleye Pacific opah) is the source of this 217-nucleotide small nucleolar RNA. RefSeq annotates it as small nucleolar RNA SNORA73 family. The record is from RefSeq and is a predicted model, not a curated record. NCBI's taxonomy places the organism in Eukaryota, Metazoa, Chordata, Actinopteri, Lampriformes, Lampridae. The transcript has a single exon.
CCAAUGUAGACAUCUUGUUAGUCGGCUCUGUCCUUGUGGCAUAUGGGGGUGUAGCGCUCUGCUGUGACAUGUGGAAUGCAGUUCCAUUCCACGAAAUUGGAGCGCAUGCUCAGUCUCCGACUCUCGGGACGAUGAGGAUGGGAAUCAUGUAUAUUCCUCAUCUUCCCCAGAGUCCUCUGGGCCGUUACUGGGGCGCUAAACCACACAGUGCACAUUU